Molecule: unclassified non-coding RNA, 327 nt
Filed under: Hevea brasiliensis (rubber tree)
Lineage: Eukaryota; Viridiplantae; Streptophyta; Magnoliopsida; Malpighiales; Euphorbiaceae
Source: RNAcentral
GUUCUCAUGAAAUCCUGAAUUUCACAAUAAUUUUAUUGGAUACCUAGCAUAAAAAGCUAGAAGCAGAAAUUGAUUAAUAUCAUAAAAAUAUGAUGACCCGUAUCAUCAUUGCCUUGCGUCUUGUUGCAGAAAAAGUCAUGCAGCAGAAGAUGAGAACGAUGAGCAAAGGGGAAAAACCAUUGAUCAUGUCCUCAUUCCCCAUCAGUGCCAAAACAUAUUUGACCAAAAAUUGUUAAUACAAAUGAAAUAAAAGAGAUGUUUUCGACAGGUUUUCCAAGUUCAGUCAAAUAAGCAGGCUCCAUCUUAUAACUAUCAAACACAUACCUG